GAUGAACGCUGGCGGCGUGCUUAACACAUGCUAGUCGAACGGAAAGGCUCCUGCUUGCAGGGGUACUCGAGUGGCGAACGGGUGAGUAACACGUGGGUGAUCUGCCCUGCACUUCGGGAUAAGCCUGGGAAACUGGGUCUAAUACCGGAUAGGACGAUGGUUUGGAUGCCAUUGUGGAAAGUUUUUCGGUGUGGGAUGAGCUCGCGGCCUAUCAGCUUGUUGGUGGGGUAAUGGCCUACCAAGGCGUCGACGGGUAGCCGGCCUGAGAGGGUGUACGGCCACAUUGGGACUGAGAUACGGCCCAGACUCCUACGGGAGGCAGCAGUGGGGAAUAUUGCACAAUGGGCGCAAGCCUGAUGCAGCGACGCCGCGUGGGGGAUGACGGCCUUCGGGUUGUAAACUCCUUUCGCUAGGGACGAAGCGCAAGUGACGGUACCUGGAGAAGAAGCACCGGCUAACUACG
This 463-nucleotide ribosomal RNA is filed under the name uncultured bacterium. RNAcentral describes it as "partial 16S ribosomal RNA". It matches the Rfam family "Bacterial small subunit ribosomal RNA", at positions 28 to 505 of the family's 1533-position model. The record is from RNAcentral.